This 530-nucleotide ribosomal RNA is filed under the name uncultured archaeon. Its description in RNAcentral is "bacterial SSU rRNA". It matches the Rfam family "Archaeal small subunit ribosomal RNA", at positions 322 to 856 of the family's 1478-position model. The record is from RNAcentral.
CCUACGGGGCGCAGCAGGCGCGAAAACUUUACAAUGCGGGAAACCGUGAUAGGGGAACUCUGAGUGCCCGUUAAAUCGGGCUGUCCAUCAGUUUAAACAACUGGUGGAGAAAGGGCCGGGCAAGACCGGUGCCAGCCGCCGCGGUAAUACCGGCGGCUCGAGUGGUGGCCACUAUUACUGGGCUUAAAGCGUUCGUAGCUGGUUUGUUAAGUCUCUGGGGAAAUCUUCCGGCUCAACCGGAAGGCGUCUCAGGGAUACUGGCAGACUAGGGACCGGGAGAGGUGAGGGGUACUCCAGGGGUAGGAGUGAAAUCCUGUAAUCCUUGGGGGACCACCUGUGGCGAAGGCGCCUCACCAGAACGGCUCCGACAGUGAGGGACGGAAGCUGGGGGAGCAAACCGGAUUAGAUACCCGGGUAGUCCCAGCUGUAAACGAUGCGCGUUAGGUGUAUCAGUGACCACGAGUCACUGAGGUGCCGAAGAGAAAUCGUGAAACGUGCCGCCUGGGAAGUACGGUCGCAAGGCUGAAACU